RNAcentral lists this ribosomal RNA (2932 nucleotides) under Escherichia coli O145:NM. RNAcentral's name for it is "23S ribosomal RNA". It matches the Rfam family "Bacterial large subunit ribosomal RNA". The record is from RNAcentral. Lineage: Bacteria; Pseudomonadati; Pseudomonadota; Gammaproteobacteria; Enterobacterales; Enterobacteriaceae.
GGGUUGUGAGGUUAAGCGACUAAGCGUACACGGUGGAUGCCCUGGCAGUCAGAGGCGAUGAAGGACGUGCUAAUCUGCGAUAAGCGUCGGUAAGGUGAUAUGAACCGUUAUAACCGGCGAUUUCCGAAUGGGGAAACCCAGUGUGUUUCGACACACUAUCAUUAACUGAAUCCAUAGGUUAAUGAGGCGAACCGGGGGAACUGAAACAUCUAAGUACCCCGAGGAAAAGAAAUCAACCGAGAUUCCCCCAGUAGCGGCGAGCGAACGGGGAGCAGCCCAGAGCCUGAAUCAGUGUGUGUGUUAGUGGAAGCGUCUGGAAAGGCGCGCGAUACAGGGUGACAGCCCCGUACACAAAAAUGCACAUACUGUGAGCUCGAUGAGUAGGGCGGGACACGUGGUAUCCUGUCUGAAUAUGGGGGGACCAUCCUCCAAGGCUAAAUACUCCUGACUGACCGAUAGUGAACCAGUACCGUGAGGGAAAGGCGAAAAGAACCCCGGCGAGGGGAGUGAAAAAGAACCUGAAACCGUGUACGUACAAGCAGUGGGAGCACGCUUCGGCGUGUGACUGCGUACCUUUUGUAUAAUGGGUCAGCGACUUAUAUUCUGUAGCAAGGUUAACCGAAUAGGGGAGCCGAAGGGAAACCGAGUCUUAACUGGGCGUUAAGUUGCAGGGUAUAGACCCGAAACCCGGUGAUCUAGCCAUGGGCAGGUUGAAGGUUGGGUAACACUAACUGGAGGACCGAACCGACUAAUGUUGAAAAAUUAGCGGAUGACUUGUGGCUGGGGGUGAAAGGCCAAUCAAACCGGGAGAUAGCUGGUUCUCCCCGAAAGCUAUUUAGGUAGCGCCUCGUGAAUUCAUCUCCGGGGGUAGAGCACUGUUUCGGCAAGGGGGUCAUCCCGACUUACCAACCCGAUGCAAACUGCGAAUACCGGAGAAUGUUAUCACGGGAGACACACGGCGGGUGCUAACGUCCGUCGUGAAGAGGGAAACAACCCAGACCGCCAGCUAAGGUCCCAAAGUCAUGGUUAAGUGGGAAACGAUGUGGGAAGGCCCAGACAGCCAGGAUGUUGGCUUAGAAGCAGCCAUCAUUUAAAGAAAGCGUAAUAGCUCACUGGUCGAGUCGGCCUGCGCGGAAGAUGUAACGGGGCUAAACCAUGCACCGAAGCUGCGGCAGCGACACUAUGUGUUGUUGGGUAGGGGAGCGUUCUGUAAGCCUGUGAAGGUGUGCUGUGAGGCAUGCUGGAGGUAUCAGAAGUGCGAAUGCUGACAUAAGUAACGAUAAAGCGGGUGAAAAGCCCGCUCGCCGGAAGACCAAGGGUUCCUGUCCAACGUUAAUCGGGGCAGGGUGAGUCGACCCCUAAGGCGAGGCCGAAAGGCGUAGUCGAUGGGAAACAGGUUAAUAUUCCUGUACUUGGUGUUACUGCGAAGGGGGGACGGAGAAGGCUAUGUUGGCCGGGCGACGGUUGUCCCGGUUUAAGCGUGUAGGCUGGUUUUCCAGGCAAAUCCGGAAAAUCAAGGCUGAGGCGUGAUGACGAGGCACUACGGUGCUGAAGCAACAAAUGCCCUGCUUCCAGGAAAAGCCUCUAAGCAUCAGGUAACAUUAAAUCGUACCCCAAACCGACACAGGUGGUCAGGUAGAGAAUACCAAGGCGCUUGAGAGAACUCGGGUGAAGGAACUAGGCAAAAUGGUGCCGUAACUUCGGGAGAAGGCACGCUGAUAUGUAGGUGAAGUCCCUCGCGGAUGGAGCUGAAAUCAGUCGAAGAUACCAGCUGGCUGCAACUGUUUAUUAAAAACACAGCACUGUGCAAACACGAAAGUGGACGUAUACGGUGUGACGCCUGCCCGGUGCCGGAAGGUUAAUUGAUGGGGUUAGCGGUAACGCGAAGCUCUUGAUCGAAGCCCCGGUAAACGGCGGCCGUAACUAUAACGGUCCUAAGGUAGCGAAAUUCCUUGUCGGGUAAGUUCCGACCUGCACGAAUGGCGUAAUGAUGGCCAGGCUGUCUCCACCCGAGACUCAGUGAAAUUGAACUCGCUGUGAAGAUGCAGUGUACCCGCGGCAAGACGGAAAGACCCCGUGAACCUUUACUAUAGCUUGACACUGAACAUUGAGCCUUGAUGUGUAGGAUAGGUGGGAGGCUUUGAAGUGUGGACGCCAGUCUGCAUGGAGCCGACCUUGAAAUACCACCCUUUAAUGUUUGAUGUUCUAACGUUGACCCGUGAUCCGGGUUAUGGACAGUGUCUGGUGGGUAGUUUGACUGGGGCGGUCUCCUCCUAAAGAGUAACGGAGGAGCACGAAGGUUGGCUAAUCCUGGUCGGACAUCAGGAGGUUAGUGCAAUGGCAUAAGCCAGCUUGACUGCGAGCGUGACGGCGCGAGCAGGUGCGAAAGCAGGUCAUAGUGAUCCGGUGGUUCUGAAUGGAAGGGCCAUCGCUCAACGGAUAAAAGGUACUCCGGGGAUAACAGGCUGAUACCGCCCAAGAGUUCAUAUCGACGGCGGUGUUUGGCACCUCGAUGUCGGCUCAUCACAUCCUGGGGCUGAAGUAGGUCCCAAGGGUAUGGCUGUUCGCCAUUUAAAGUGGUACGCGAGCUGGGUUUAGAACGUCGUGAGACAGUUCGGUCCCUAUCUGCCGUGGGCGCUGGAGAACUGAGGGGGGCUGCUCCUAGUACGAGAGGACCGGAGUGGACGCAUCACUGGUGUUCGGGUUGUCAUGCCAAUGGCACUGCCCGGUAGCUAAAUGCGGAAGAGAUAAGUGCUGAAAGCAUCUAAGCACGAAACUUGCCCCGAGAUGAGUUCUCCCUGACUCCUUGAGAGUCCUGAAGGAACGUUGAAGACGACGACGUUGAUAGGCCGGGUGUGUAAGCGCAGCGAUGCGUUGAGCUAACCGGUACUAAUGAACCGUGAGGCUUAACCUUACAACGCCGAAGGUGUUU